This 2032-nucleotide long non-coding RNA is filed under the name Malus domestica (apple). RNAcentral describes it as "long non-coding RNA (MDOM_LNC013053)". Lineage: Eukaryota; Viridiplantae; Streptophyta; Magnoliopsida; Rosales; Rosaceae. The record is from RNAcentral.
AUUAUAAUUUUUCCCAAUUUGUCGCCUUAUAAUUCUAUUUUUAAAGAAAACUCUCCGAUUCACCAUGAUUGUAAUAAGCCCACUAAAAAAUUAAUUUCAUUCCGAAGAAAACAACCAAAAUUGAAAACAGUACGCGUUAUACAUAAAUAAAAAAAAAAAAAAAAGGAAAAGAAGAAUAUAUUGCACAGGGUGCUGGUGUAACUCUAAAUUAUAUAGGGUCCAAAUUUAGCCAUAAAUGUAAGGAAAAUUUCAUGAAAAGAACUUGAGCUAAGUUUAUUUUAAUAAAAAAUCAUGCUAAAUUUUAUUUAAUUAAAAAGACUUAAAUUUUAAUUAAAAACCUUCAAAUUUUAAUAAAAAUGACAAAAGAACUUAAAUUUUAAUAAAAAAGACAAAAUUUUAAUAUUAAAAACAAAUUUGAAGAAACAAAUCUGAGGCGCGAACCCACACGUCCUCAUACAGAUUGUUUAUGAAACUUUCUACACUGUUUAAGAAACUUACUACAUUGUUUAUGAAACUUUUGACACUGUUUAUGAAACUGACUGCACUGUUUAUGAAAACUUAUGACACUAUUUAUGAAACUUACUACACUGUUUAUGAAACUUAACGGUACUACAUUGUUUAUGAAAUUUAACGAUGCUACACUGUUUAUGAAACUUAACAGUACUACAUUCUUCUCUCUCAUCUUCAUGAAUUUUCUUGGCACAUUCUCACCUUCCAAACUCAUUUUCUUCGAUACUCUUUAAAUUUUAUUUGUAUCUCUUCAAUUUCUUAACUUUCUACACCAAUUACUUAAUUUUGUUCUAUUGUCCAAUCAUCUGCGGCUUCCUCUUCUUCUCCACCUACAAUCUUAACUUUCUACACCACGUGUUAUUAUGUAAGCGGUGGACAAUUUUAUUUUUUAACACAAGAAUCUCACCACUUGUAUUGACACAGUUUGACUCAGAAUGUCCACCUGGACUUCAAAUCGAGCUGUGCUGGUCGGCACUAGGAGGGUGACGAAUCCAUAAAGUGUAGUGAUGUGGAAAAUGUGAGUUAAUUUAAGUCUAAAGCGAGAAUGAACCAGUUUCACACGUGAUGUUAGAGCAUAAGUAAAGUACAGUAAAAUUAGAAUAAGAAUUAUACCAUUAGGAGUAGUCUUCGAUAUCAGCAUUAGCCAUAAAUCCUCUUCGACACAAACACUGCCACUAAAUCCUAGAAGGGUGAAAAACAAGGGUGAGUACGCCUAAAAAUAAAGUUUUGUAAACAUAUUUUUAAAAUGUUAUAACCCCUUGCCAUAAAACAAGUAUAGUUUCCAAAAUAUACAUACUACGUAUAGUAUGAAAUUGCUUACAAUAACCUGCAAUAUCUCAAGAAUUCAAUACGUCACAAUAUUUUGUAAAUACACAUCUAACGUCUGGUAAUCACAUAAUCUCGCAUACACAAACAUAUCAUAUCAAGUGCUCAUCGACAUAUGCUGACACAGGAGUUCAUGUAGAGAUAUUUUGACAUGAACAUGACUAGGUGUCAUAAUGAUAUACGCUCUAGUACUACAAUCACGCGAAGAUUGGCACUAUGUGCAUCACAUACGAAUCCUAAUUGCCUACAACAAUCUAGGACAGGACUGACACCUACAAUGGAUCCAAAGUGAGCGUAUAGUACGAUGUGAACAUACAUGUGAAAGAUUGGCCUUGGCCUGGGCUAGUACUAACACAGAUGCAACAAUGAUGAUCAGAUAAUAUAAACAUAAUCAUAGAGCGGUAAAUCAAUAAUUUAUGUCAACAUAAUACUAUUCACUGUCAUAAUAUAUAAAUAAGGCAUCUCGUAAAAUAUGCAUACCUGUGCAUCAUGUAGGAUUCAUAAUAAUCUCACAAUUUCAAUCAUCGCGACAAUUCUUAUAACAUCAAUUUAAUUAUGGCAUCACUUAGAAAAUGCAUUAUCAAUCUAUGUAUGGAAACUCAAAUAAUAUACACACACACACACACACACGCACACACAUACACUAUAUAAAAGAAAAGACUCACUCAUAGAUAUUUGCAAGGUCCCAGCUGUUCAA